AACAUGAAACAUGCUGGGAACACCAGUGAGGUGUAACUGAAAAAUGUGGCAAAUAGGAAGCUACUGACUGUCCUAAGGAUUCUUACAACCACGAGGACCAUGAAAGCAGUGGGAGAGGUGGAGAGAUGAAUCACAAGGUCAGCAGCAUUG
Microtus oregoni (creeping vole) is the source of this 150-nucleotide long non-coding RNA. RefSeq lists it as uncharacterized. NCBI's taxonomy places the organism in Eukaryota, Metazoa, Chordata, Mammalia, Rodentia, Cricetidae. The record is from RefSeq and is a predicted model, not a curated record. The transcript has 3 exons.